RNAcentral lists this transfer RNA (72 nucleotides) under Bos taurus (domestic cattle). It matches the Rfam family "tRNA". From Rfam's summary of the family: Transfer RNA (tRNA) molecules are approximately 80 nucleotides in length. Their secondary structure includes four short double-helical elements and three loops (D, anti-codon, and T loops). Further hydrogen bonds mediate the characteristic L-shaped molecular structure. tRNAs have two regions of fundamental functional importance: the anti-codon, which is responsible for specific mRNA codon recognition, and the 3' end, to which the tRNAs corresponding amino acid is attached (by aminoacyl-tRNA synthetases). tRNAs cope with the degeneracy of the genetic code in two manners: having more than one tRNA (with a specific anti-codon) for a particular amino acid; and 'wobble' base-pairing, i.e. permitting non-standard base-pairing at the 3rd anti-codon position. RNAcentral also lists the same sequence under 4 other names. Lineage: Eukaryota; Metazoa; Chordata; Mammalia; Artiodactyla; Bovidae. The record is from Rfam by way of RNAcentral.
UCCCUGGUAGCUCAGUCAGUAAAGCGUCCGCCUGCAAUGAGGGAGACCCGGGUUCGAUCCCUGGGUCGGGAA